AGAUAUGAGGGUGAUCUGGCUGUGACAUGUGUCACCCCAUUGAUUGCCAGGGUUGAUUUGUCUCAUCUGGCUGGCUAGGCAAGUGUCCCCUCCAUCUCUCACCGCUCAAUGUGUAUCCCUCCCAAAGCUAUGCUUGGUCCAAGAGGUUGGUCUUCCCUGACAGAAGAGGACUUAAA
RNAcentral lists this small nuclear RNA (176 nucleotides) under Equus caballus (horse). RNAcentral's name for it is "7SK RNA". It matches the Rfam family "7SK RNA", at positions 1 to 178 of the family's 331-position model. From Rfam's summary of the family: 7SK was discovered as an abundant small nuclear RNA in the mid-70s but a possible function has only recently been suggested. Lineage: Eukaryota; Metazoa; Chordata; Mammalia; Perissodactyla; Equidae. The record is from Rfam by way of RNAcentral.